UUUUAGUAGACAUGCUAUUGACAUUUUAUAGGUAAAUAAAUUGGGAAGAGAAUUUAAAGACUUCUAGUUUUUUUUUUUCAUUUCCAGAGAACGUGAGGGAAUGGUUGUAAUGUCCUUUACUCUCUCCUCUUUCUUCUUCUAUAGUGAAUUAACGUGAUAUUGGAGGUUAUAGAGUUCAAGAGUUUUUACAGCGGAGAGCCGUACGACGUGGUCCCAAAUCGUUAGACAGUUGCUUAUGUUGGAGUAACUUUUCAUAGUUUGGGUGGUUGGAGUUAUUGAUUGAUUGCGCAAAGACUACACUUACGAGUGUUGAAUUGUUUGAAACUUGCGAUGCUACUGCUAGAUAUUGAGGUGUCCAAGGAUCAAGUACACCAGGGAGCAGACUUCUAUAUUAGGUACUUGCUUUGAUUCAGCGGAGAACUUGGUGAGCUUUUCUCUCAUCUGAAGCUAAUAGAUGUCUAGAAUUCCUUAAGUCAUAUUUAUAGUUAUAACUGGGGUAUGUCAGUUCUUAUCCCAACCAUCUAUUGUAGUAUGGUAACAAACUCUAUUAGAGGCUUCGUAGAUAAUGUAAAAUUAUUAUAUAUAUCCAUAAUUUUAGUUGUCUACUGUAUCAGUAUGACCAUUUGGACAAUGUUACUUAUGUAGCAUUCUUGUAAUUAUCUUAUGAAUAGUGGCUCAUCUGCUUAAUGUAGGUCACUGUAUGACAAAUGUUCAUAGGGAUCCUUGUCUACCCCCUUUGGUCUGGGGCGUGACAUCUAGGAGAAACCUCCACCUGAACAAGACUCUUAAAAGACUAUAUUAUGUAUGCUACUGUAUUAUGACUUGAGAAGAGAGAUCUUCUAUUUAUAGAACUACAGAACACUUUCUCUAACAAAGAAGAAACCUAAGAGUACGCUGUGGAUGGUAAUAAGUUAUGGUUCGAGAAGAGAAAUCUUCUAUUUAUAGAACUAUAAAACACUUCCUUUAACAAAGAAGAA
Capsicum annuum is the source of this 977-nucleotide long non-coding RNA. RefSeq lists it as uncharacterized. The record is from RefSeq and is a predicted model, not a curated record. NCBI's taxonomy places the organism in Eukaryota, Viridiplantae, Streptophyta, Magnoliopsida, Solanales, Solanaceae. The transcript is spliced from 3 exons.